GCCGCGGUGGCGGAAUUGGCAGACGCAGUAGACUCAAAAUCUACCGCCCCUCAAGGGCGUGGGGGUUCAAGUCCCUUCCGCGGCACCA
This 88-nucleotide transfer RNA is filed under the name Peptococcaceae bacterium. RNAcentral describes it as "tRNA-Leu". It matches the Rfam family "tRNA". Rfam says of the family: Transfer RNA (tRNA) molecules are approximately 80 nucleotides in length. Their secondary structure includes four short double-helical elements and three loops (D, anti-codon, and T loops). Lineage: Bacteria; Bacillati; Bacillota; Clostridia; Eubacteriales; Peptococcaceae. The record is from RNAcentral.